This 75-nucleotide transfer RNA is filed under the name Bacteroidota bacterium. Its description in RNAcentral is "Bacteroidetes bacterium (marine metagenome) tRNA-Ile". It matches the Rfam family "tRNA". Rfam says of the family: Transfer RNA (tRNA) molecules are approximately 80 nucleotides in length. The record is from RNAcentral. Lineage: Bacteria; Pseudomonadati; Bacteroidota.
GCCUUCAUAGGAGAAUCGGCAUAUCCGCAUGAUUUAUAAAUCAUGAUUUUCCAGGUUCGAAUCCUGGUGGGGGCA